UGGCGGACGGGUGAGUAAUGUCUGGGAAACUGCCCGAUGGAGGGGGAUAACUACUGGAAACGGUAGCUAAUACCGCAUAACGUCGCAAGACCAAAGAGGGGGACCUCCGGGCCUCGCGCCAUCAGAUGAACCCAUAUGGGAUUAGCUAGUAGGUAAGGUAACGGCUUACCUAGGCGACGAUCCCUAGCUGGUCUGAGAGGAUGAUCAGCCACACUGGGACUGAGACACGGCCCAG
RNAcentral lists this ribosomal RNA (235 nucleotides) under uncultured bacterium. RNAcentral's name for it is "partial 16S ribosomal RNA". It matches the Rfam family "Bacterial small subunit ribosomal RNA", at positions 96 to 334 of the family's 1533-position model. The record is from RNAcentral.